AAUAGAUACCCGGGUAGUCCACGCCCUAAACGAUGUCGACUAGGUGUUGGGGAAGGAGACUUCCUUAGUACCGCAGCUAACGCGUGAAGUCGACCGCCUGGGGAGUACGGUCGCAAGAUUAAAACUCAAAGGAAUUGACGGGGACCCGCACAAGCGGUGGAUGAUGUGGAUUAAUUCGAUGCAACGCGAAAAACCUUACCUACCCUUGACAUGUACGGAAGUCCGCUGAGAGGUGGAUGUGCCCGAAAGGGAGCCGUAACACAGGUGCUGCAUGGCUGUCGUCAGCUCGUGUCGUGAGAUGUUGGGUUAAGUCCCGCAACGAGCGCAACCCUUGCCAUUAGUUGCCACAUUCAGUUGGGCACUCUAGUGGGACUGCCGGUGACAAACCGGAGGAAGGUGGGGAUGACGUCAAGUCCUCAUGGCCCUUAUGGGUAGGGCCUCACACGUCAUACAAUGGCGCGUACAGAGGGUUGCCAACCGCGAGGGGAGCCAAUCCCAGAAAGCGCGUCGUAGUCCGGAUUGGAGUCUGCAACUCGACUCC
This 541-nucleotide ribosomal RNA is filed under the name uncultured bacterium. RNAcentral describes it as "bacterial SSU rRNA". It matches the Rfam family "Bacterial small subunit ribosomal RNA", at positions 777 to 1319 of the family's 1533-position model. The record is from RNAcentral.